GGGGAAGAAGCUUUUGAGAAGUGAUAUAUUUUUGCUAUAUUGAGGCACUAAGUGAGUUUUUGCCUU
RNAcentral lists this transfer RNA (66 nucleotides) under Phallusia fumigata. RNAcentral's name for it is "transfer RNA-Lys". The record is from RNAcentral. Lineage: Eukaryota; Metazoa; Chordata; Ascidiacea; Phlebobranchia; Ascidiidae.